GACGAACGCUGGCGGCGUGCCUAAUACAUGCAAGUUGAGCGCUGAAGGUUGGUACUUGUACCAACUGGAUGAGCAGCGAACGGGUGAGUAACGCGUGGGGAAUCUGCCUUUGAGCGGGGGACAACAUUUGGAAACGAAUGCUAAUACCGCAUAAAAACUUUAAACACAAGUUUUAAGUUUGAAAGAUGCAAUUACAUCACUCAAAGAUGAUCCCGCGUUGUAUUGGCUAGUUGGUGAGGUAAAGGCUCACCAAGGCGAUGAUACAUAGCCGACCUGAGAGGGUGAUCGGCCACAUUGGGACUGAGACACGGCCCAAACUCCUACGGGAGGCAGCAGUAGGGAAUCUUCGGCAAUGGACGAAAGUCUGACCGAGCAACGCCGCGUGAGUGAAGAAGGUUUUCGGAUCGUAAAACUCUGUUGGUAGAGAAGAACGUUGGUGAGAGUGGAAAGCUCAUCAAGUGACGGUAACUACCCAGAAAGGGACGGCUAACUACGUG
RNAcentral lists this ribosomal RNA (497 nucleotides) under uncultured bacterium. RNAcentral's name for it is "partial 16S ribosomal RNA". It matches the Rfam family "Bacterial small subunit ribosomal RNA", at positions 28 to 507 of the family's 1533-position model. The record is from RNAcentral.